GACGAACGCUGGCGGCGUGCCUAAUACAUGCAAGUCGAGCGAAGUUUUUCUGGUGCUUGCACUAGAAAAACUUAGCGGCGAACGGGUGAGUAACACGUAAAGAACCUGCCUCAUAGACUGGGACAACUAUUGGAAACGAUAGCUAAUACCGGAUAACAGUAUUAACUGCAUGGUUGAUGUUUAAAAGUUGGUUUUGCUAACACUAUGAGAUGGCUUUGCGGUGCAUUAGCUAGUUGGUGGGGUAAAGGCCUACCAAGGCGACGAUGCAUAGCCGACCUGAGAGGGUGAUCGGCCACACUGGGACUGAGACACGGCCCAGACUCCUACGGGAGGCAGCAGUAGGGAAUCUUCCGCAAUGGGCGAAAGCCUGACGGAGCAACGCCGCGUGAGUGAAGAAGGAUUUCGGUUCGUAAAGCUCUGUUGUUAGGGAAGAAUGAUUGUGUAGUAACUAUACACAGUAGAGACGGUACCUAACCAGAAAGCCACGCA
RNAcentral lists this ribosomal RNA (489 nucleotides) under Gemella haemolysans. RNAcentral's name for it is "bacterial SSU rRNA". It matches the Rfam family "Bacterial small subunit ribosomal RNA", at positions 28 to 497 of the family's 1533-position model. The record is from RNAcentral. Lineage: Bacteria; Bacillati; Bacillota; Bacilli; Caryophanales; Gemellaceae.